CGGGGUGUGGUUUACCGGUAUAACGCACGGUUCGGAACCGUGAGAUAGAGAGUUCGAUUCUCUCCACCCCGA
RNAcentral lists this transfer RNA (72 nucleotides) under Candidatus Collierbacteria bacterium CG09_land_8_20_14_0_10_46_12. Its description in RNAcentral is "tRNA-Pro". It matches the Rfam family "tRNA". From Rfam's summary of the family: Transfer RNA (tRNA) molecules are approximately 80 nucleotides in length. Their secondary structure includes four short double-helical elements and three loops (D, anti-codon, and T loops). Further hydrogen bonds mediate the characteristic L-shaped molecular structure. tRNAs have two regions of fundamental functional importance: the anti-codon, which is responsible for specific mRNA codon recognition, and the 3' end, to which the tRNAs corresponding amino acid is attached (by aminoacyl-tRNA synthetases). tRNAs cope with the degeneracy of the genetic code in two manners: having more than one tRNA (with a specific anti-codon) for a particular amino acid; and 'wobble' base-pairing, i.e. permitting non-standard base-pairing at the 3rd anti-codon position. The record is from RNAcentral. Lineage: Bacteria; Candidatus Collieribacteriota. RNAcentral also lists the same sequence under 1 other name.